UGCAGGCUGAGAGGCUGUCAGUUUGUGGGGGUGAAGUAGUUGGGACUCUGCAGACUGCAGCAUCUUGCACUGCA
Molecule: microRNA precursor, 74 nt
Organism: Gallus gallus (chicken)
Lineage: Eukaryota; Metazoa; Chordata; Aves; Galliformes; Phasianidae
Source: Ensembl